GCGGCCCUAAGACUUUUGCCGGGAUGGCCAAGAAACUGGGAGGCUGAAGAGAGCUCGAAGUAUGGAGCAUCCCUGCCCUCAGCUGGUAAAUUUCUUGACGUGAAUGAACAGAACUCCUACGUACUGUUUAGGAGAACACUGGCUUCUUGUUGACCUUGGUGAUGCUGGGAGUUACUGCUGCAAUAAAGUUUGCCAAUGUGAUCAA
This is a long non-coding RNA of Pan troglodytes (chimpanzee), 205 nucleotides long. RefSeq lists it as uncharacterized. The record is from RefSeq and is a predicted model, not a curated record. The transcript is spliced from 2 exons. Lineage: Eukaryota; Metazoa; Chordata; Mammalia; Primates; Hominidae.